UACGUAGGGACCAAGCGUUGUUCGGAUUUACUGGGCGUAAAGGGCGCGUAGGCGGCCUUCUAAGUCGAACGUGAAAUCCCUGGGCUCAACCCAGGAACUGCGUCCGAUACUGGAAGGCUUGAAUCCGGGAGAGGGAUGCGGAAUUCCAGGUGUAGCGGUGAAAUGCGUAGAUAUCUGGAGGAACACCGGUGGCGAAGGCGGCAUCCUGGACCAAUAUUGACGCUGAGGAGCGAAAGCCAGGGGAGCAAACGGG
This 253-nucleotide ribosomal RNA is filed under the name uncultured bacterium. RNAcentral describes it as "partial 16S ribosomal RNA". It matches the Rfam family "Bacterial small subunit ribosomal RNA", at positions 524 to 776 of the family's 1533-position model. The record is from RNAcentral.